RNAcentral lists this ribosomal RNA (497 nucleotides) under uncultured bacterium. Its description in RNAcentral is "partial 16S ribosomal RNA". It matches the Rfam family "Bacterial small subunit ribosomal RNA", at positions 28 to 507 of the family's 1533-position model. The record is from RNAcentral.
GAUGAACGCUGGCGGCGUGCCUAAUACAUGCAAGUCGAGCGAACAGACGAGAAGCUUGCUCCUCUGACGUUAGCGGCGGACGGGUGAGUAACACGUGGAUAACCUACCUAUAAGACUGGGAUAACUUCGGGAAACCGGAGCUAAUACCAGAUAAUAUAUUGAACCGCAUGGUUCAAUAGUGAAAGACGGUUUUGCUGUCACUUAUAGAUGGAUCCGCGCCGCAUUAGCUAGUUGGUAAGGUAACGGCUUACCAAGGCAACGAUGCGUAGCCGACCUGAGAGGGUGAUCGGCCACACUGGAACUGAGACACGGUCCAGACUCCUACGGGAGGCAGCAGUAGGGAAUCUUCCGCAAUGGGCGAAAGCUUGACGGAGCAACGCCGCGUGAGUGAUGAAGGUCUUCGGAUCGUAAAACUCUGUUAUUAGGGAAGAACAAAUGUGUAAGUAACUAUGCACGUCUUGACGGUACCUAAUCAGAAAGCCACGGCUAACUACGUG